GACGAACGCUGGCGGCGUGCUUAACACAUGCAAGUCGAACGGAAAGGCCUCUUUCGGGGGGUACUCGAGUGGCGAACGGGUGAGUAACACGUGAGUAACCUACCCUUGACUUUGGGAUAACUUCAGGAAACUGGGGCUAAUACCGGAUAGGAGCUCCUGCUGCAUGGUGGGGGUUGGAAAGUUUCGGCGGUUGGGGAUGGACUCGCGGCUUAUCAGCUUGUUGGUGGGGUAGUGGCUUACCAAGGCUUUGACGGGUAGCCGGCCUGAGAGGGUGACCGGCCACAUUGGGACUGAGAUACGGCCCAGACUCCUACGGGAGGCAGCAGUGGGGAAUAUUGCACAAUGGGUGGAAGCCUGAUGCAGCAACGCCGUGUGCGGGAUGACGGCCUUCGGGUUGUAAACCGCUUUCGCUCAUGACGAAGCUUUGUGUGACGGUAGUGGGUAAAGAAGCACCGGCUAACUACGUG
Molecule: ribosomal RNA, 467 nt
Filed under: uncultured bacterium
Lineage: Bacteria
Description: partial 16S ribosomal RNA
Rfam family: Bacterial small subunit ribosomal RNA
Source: RNAcentral